GACAGAGGGUGCAAACGUUGUUCGGAAUUACUGGGCGUAAAGCGCGUGUAGGCUGCUUGGAAAGUCGGAUGCGAAAGCCCUGGGCUCAACCCAGGAAGUGCAUUCGAAACUUCCGAGCUCGAGUUCUGGAGAGGAUAGCGGAAUUCUCGGUGUAGAGGUGAAAUUCGUAGAUAUCGAGAGGAACACCGGUGGCGAAGGCGGCUAUCUGGACAGAAACUGACGCUGAGACGCGAAAGCGUGGGGAGCAAACAGG
This 253-nucleotide ribosomal RNA is filed under the name uncultured bacterium. RNAcentral's name for it is "partial 16S ribosomal RNA". It matches the Rfam family "Bacterial small subunit ribosomal RNA", at positions 524 to 776 of the family's 1533-position model. The record is from RNAcentral.